Long non-coding RNA from Perca flavescens (yellow perch), 502 nucleotides. RefSeq lists it as uncharacterized. Lineage: Eukaryota; Metazoa; Chordata; Actinopteri; Perciformes; Percidae. The transcript is spliced from 3 exons. The record is from RefSeq and is a predicted model, not a curated record.
GUGCACACUAUCUACAUCCCUUGCUUUGUAUUUCUUUAUUGAAACAAAUCACAGCAGUGAUUCCAGUAAAACUAAAAGCCAUAGUGAGCCUCCUCUAACAAACCAAAAUUAUGAUUAACUGUCAGCUAGCAAGUGCAUGCUAAAAGAUGGCAUACUCUAUGCUGCAAAGUGUCCAUAUUUCUACUGGACUGAUAACAAAGAGCUGUCUCAUCAUCCGUUUAUUGCUCGUCUGCGAAUGAAAUUCAAAAUGGCAUUGUUAGGAAUCGGAAACCAAUCUAUUUUCAGCAGAGCAAGCAACAACCUGUCGAUCCUGUGACAAGUGUGGAGGACAUGUUUCAUCCUUACAUUCGGAAUAACGUUAGGACAUUGUCAAGGACGACAAGAACAAGAAGCAGCACAUGGACACAUAACUACAAACAUUGGUUCCGGUGAAAACUGCUGUAGAUCAUAAGUGCUGCCAUGGGAACUUAGUUUGAAGACAAUGCAGCGUGUUCGUUUUGGG